Molecule: transfer RNA, 73 nt
Filed under: Ailuropoda melanoleuca (giant panda)
Lineage: Eukaryota; Metazoa; Chordata; Mammalia; Carnivora; Ursidae
Rfam family: tRNA
About the family: Transfer RNA (tRNA) molecules are approximately 80 nucleotides in length. Their secondary structure includes four short double-helical elements and three loops (D, anti-codon, and T loops).
Source: Rfam by way of RNAcentral
UCCUGGCUGGCUCAGUCGGCAGAGCGGGAGACUCUUGAUCUUGGGGUUGUGAGUUCCAGCCCCAUGUUGGGAG